This 1875-nucleotide long non-coding RNA is filed under the name Triticum aestivum (bread wheat). RNAcentral describes it as "long non-coding RNA (TAES_LNC007684)". Lineage: Eukaryota; Viridiplantae; Streptophyta; Magnoliopsida; Poales; Poaceae. The record is from RNAcentral.
AACGCCGUUUUGUUCUUCUGUGCAAAAGUAAUAAUACUCUGAAUGUGCUUAAUAUGCGAGCAGAAAAUAAUCAUAGUAUAUAAGCUAAAGUUCCUGGAGUCCAAGGACCUGACUCUUUUCUUUUGUGCAAGACCAGAAGUGAGCAAUUUACACUCAUGAUUCAACAUAAGAUGGGAUUAAUGUAAACAUACCAAUAAGGACCAAUGGUGCUUCAAUGUUGUGUUGUGGCUUCAUCGGUGGCCAACAUGUUAAACGGAGCAACGGCUUGAGUGCCACCAUGAACGACAACUACAGGGAUCAAAUUUCCAUUGAUGUGUGGAGGCGACGGAUUCAGCGUGUAUGCUCCUUUGUCUAAACCCUACUAGCUGCCGCCAUCUGGAGUUUCAACAUCACCGUCAUCCACCAGCAUGAACAUUUCCAUGGAUCCAUUUCCUCGCUGCAUGCCAUGGCGGUAGAAAAUGAUGAAUGGUGGAAGCCAUAACAUUCCAUCCUUUCGAACCCUUCCUCUUCUUGGCUCAGCAUCCACCGAAGAUGUCCUAGAGGUCUGGAGCUUUCUCGGAAAUUGUUAUAUUGCAGUUAAAUAUGCUACCUGGUGUAGUACUGCCAAAGGAAGAAUACACAUCACAGCCCCUGAACAUAGGAGUACAAAUAGUAAAGCUAGCAGGUAAGAAAUGUAUAAAACUACAUGGGCUAAGAAACAGAGUUAUAUAAUUGAUAGUUUAAACGUGCCCCGUUUUCAAGGAUCAUAUAAGUGAAUCCUAUAGAAGGACCAAGAGAUACGAAUAUUCCAGUAGCACAGCAACCGAUUAUUUUCUUCCUAGCACACAUGGACAAUUCGGACGGGAUGAUCUAUGGCUACAAUUCAGAAAACUGAAUGGAUACAUACGAUUACUAACAAAAACAACAAUCAUCAUAUUUAAACAAUAUGAUUGUCUCUGAGGAGAUCAAAAUAACAGUAAAUUACUCUUUAAUAAUACUGAAGAUUCAACCAAUGCCUCAAGGAUUUUAAGAUGACUUGAUGAAUGAGCAUCUCCUUGACUUCGGGCCACGGUGCUAAUCUUAUAUGCUAGAAAUCAAAUUGUUGUAUUCAAGGGAAGGGAAAAUUAAAAUUUCAGUUAUGUCAGUCGAUUAUCAAUGAAAAGAAAGAAAGAGACACAUGCUGACAUGUCUCUUUGAUACCUUAUUCUAUAUAUACCUAGAUCAUACAACAUCUUAUUGAUAACAUAACCGGCGCUGAAGACACAAAGCCACUAUUUAGUAACGCAAAUCAGGUUUCAGCAUGUCACUAAGCAAUUGUAUCACAUAAAGGCAUCGAGCAAUCAAAUCUAUAGAAACCAAUUAUCCGCUUCUCUUGCUUAAUGGGUCGUCAAGGUUGUCGUAAUUUGUCAGAUUCAUUAAUUUUAAUAAAUUUUGUUUUUUAUUAAUUCAAAUCAACAUGAGGCUCCUCGAUGUUGAUGUUGUUUGUUUAGAUGUCAUAUUUAAUUUAUAAGCUAAUCAGAUGUGCAUAUAGUUGCGCUCAAACAUGAUAGAGAUAAGGAGCUUUCUACGUUGCAAUUUAGCCUGCUAACUAAAGAAUCCAUCAGUCUACGUCGACCAUCUCUGAUAUUGUGUUCCACGGGCUAAAUCACCAACAUAAGUAACGGCGAUGUUGGGGCCAUUAGCAGUGGUGGACGAUGACGACUACUAUAGGGUGUUUAGAAACAUGUGAGAGAGAUUGAGAAUCCAAAAGCUGUAUGCGAGAAGAUUCGAGAUUCAAUCAGUGGAGAGAACAAAUUUCUUUGAAUCUGAAUCCAAAUCAAAAGGAAUAGUUGCAGUAGAACAAUCAAGAAAACAAAUCUUGAAAAAACCAUGUGAGAAAACGGACCUGAUCCAAAG